This 491-nucleotide ribosomal RNA is filed under the name uncultured bacterium. RNAcentral describes it as "partial 16S ribosomal RNA". It matches the Rfam family "Bacterial small subunit ribosomal RNA", at positions 28 to 507 of the family's 1533-position model. The record is from RNAcentral.
GAUGAACGCUGGCUACAGGCUUAACACAUGCAAGUCGAGGGGAAACGACGGGGAAGCUUGCUUCCCCGGGCGUCGACCGGCGCACGGGUGAGUAACGCGUAUCCAACCUGCCUCUGACUGAGGGAUAACCCGUCGAAAGUCGGCCUAAUACCUCAUGGUAUCGUCUGCGGGCAUCCAACGACGAUUAAAGAUUUCAUCGGUCAGGGAUGGGGAUGCGUCUGAUUAGCUUGUUGGCGGGGUAACGGCCCACCAAGGCUACGAUCAGUAGGGGUUCUGAGAGGAAGGUCCCCCACAUUGGAACUGGGACACGGUCCAAACUCCUACGGGAGGCAGCAGUGAGGAAUAUUGGUCAAUGGGCGAGAGCCUGAACCAGCCAAGUAGCGUGCAGGAAGACGGCCCUAUGGGUUGUAAACUGCUUUUAUGCGGGGAUAAAGUGAGGGACGUGUCCCUCAUUGCAGGUACCGCAUGAAUAAGGACCGGCUAAUUCCGUG